CUCUUUUCUGGAGCUUUUCGUUCGCGUUUUUACUUUGUCAUGAAUUGUUUGAUCUUGAAAUGUUAAACUUCUCAUGAGCAAACAGUUAACGUUGCUCUGUUCUCAGCGCUUCAUGCAGUAACACUGAUGUUUCAUCUUAUAGACAAAUCUAAGUUAUUCUUACAACCUGAUUUUUUUUCUCGUUUCAGUCUGAAUCAUCUGAUGCAGCUCCAUUGUUUACGCUUUGACAUACACCCUAAACAUGGCUCAAGAACCAGAAAGGGGGGAAAAUUGCCUUCUGUGAAAUAUGGUUAUGUUAACGUACUUUGACAUCAACCAUGAACACUGCCCAAGAAGAAGAGAAAGUGACUUCCAAGACUGGCAACACUGUGCAAAAAAGGAGCAGUACUGAAAAACUUGUAGGCCUAUUAUUUGUUUUUACUCCACAUUUGGAAAAAUGUUAAAAGUAAAUAAUAUUGCUGUAUUGUUCAAUGAUAACUGUUGAUUGCAUUUAAAAUGUUGACCUUUCAACGUUGCAAUUUUCUUCUUUUUAAAAAUAAAAGUUUUAAAAUUCA
This is a long non-coding RNA of Megalobrama amblycephala (Wuchang bream), 554 nucleotides long. RefSeq lists it as uncharacterized. Lineage: Eukaryota; Metazoa; Chordata; Actinopteri; Cypriniformes; Xenocyprididae. The record is from RefSeq and is a predicted model, not a curated record. The transcript has 3 exons.